This 751-nucleotide long non-coding RNA is filed under the name Marmota monax (woodchuck). The record is from RNAcentral. Lineage: Eukaryota; Metazoa; Chordata; Mammalia; Rodentia; Sciuridae.
AGAAAUUUCUCCUUAUCAGUAGCAUGCUGUUCCCACAGCCAGCAUUUUUUUCUCAAAAUAUAGUCCCCAGAGUUCCUCUUUCUGGCCUUAAUAGUCAGCCCAGCCUCUCAAUCCCUUCCUCUAUGCUAAGUUUCCUCUUAAAGACCUGUCAGGUUUGUCCAACCAGGGAAAUAAGAGAACAGUAAAAAGUAUUUGGUGGGGAGAUGGGUGACCCCAGUGACAGAUGUCCUCCUCAUCUUUGGCUCUUCGCAGAUAAUCUCAUUCCAAUUUCUAAGGUUCCAGUUUUUGCUAAUCAAAGCAUGAAUUUUAACCAUUUUCCUAUUUCAUAAAACCCAAUGAAGAUGGAAAUUCAACCAACGCAAUUCCACAAAGAAUAUGAUUUGCUCCUGAAUUCAUCUCUCAGAGGUCUCAGAAAUCCUGCUACAGUCAGAAAGGGUUUCAUGAAGCAGAGUGAUAUAAAGCCACUGAGUUUCCUUGUUUGCCACCUGGGAAUGGGACCCCUGUUUUCUAUCUAAAAUUUAUUCAUUCGAUAUUAUGUUUAUUCCUCGCUCUUUGAAAUUGGUAUCUAGACCUCUCUGGUGCUAUAAUCCUCAAGUUCUAAAGGAGACAGAAUAAUAAACUACCUUGUCCCUGAGUUCCAUGAGCUAUUAGAAUUCAACCUAAGGAUGUGGAGAGGAAUAUUUUUCUCUCUUUACUCCACUACCAGGCAAUAAACAACUCCAAAAUUACCCCCAUUUUACUACAGAAGUUC